This 327-nucleotide unclassified non-coding RNA is filed under the name soil metagenome. RNAcentral describes it as "partial contains 5.8S ribosomal RNA, internal transcribed spacer 2, and large subunit ribosomal RNA". The stretch from base 1 to 120 matches the Rfam family "5.8S ribosomal RNA", at positions 35 to 154 of the family's 154-position model. The record is from RNAcentral.
GAUGAAGAACGUAGCGAAAUGCGAUAAGUAAUGUGAAUUGCAGAAUUCAGUGAAUCAUCGAAUCUUUGAACGCAUCUUGCGCCCCUUGGUAUUCCGGGGGGCAUGCCUGUUCGAGCGUCAUUAUAACCCCUCAAGCUCAGCUUGGUGUUGGGGCCUGCCGACUGGCAGCCCUUAAAAUCAGUGGCGGCGCCAUCUGGCUCUAAGCGUAGUAAUUUCUCUCGCUAUAGAGUCCCGGUGGAUGCUUGCCAGCAACCCCCAACUUUCUAUGGUUGACCUCGGAUCAGGUAGGGAUACCCGCUGAACUUAAGCAUAUCAAUAAGCGGAGGA